CUCAACCCCGGGACGCCGGUCGAAACUGUCAUGGCUAGGGUCCGGUAGAGGUGAGUGGAAUUCUCGGUGUAGCGGUGAAAUGCGCAGAUAUCGAGAGGAACACCAGUAGCGAAGGCGGCUCACUGGGCCGGUACCGACGCUGAGGAGCGAAAGCGUGGGGAGCAAACAGGAUUAGAUACCCUGGUAGUCCACGCCGUAAACGAUGAACACUAGGUGUGGCGGACUUAUCCACGUCUGCCGUGCCGCAGCUAACGCACUAAGUGUUCCGCCUGGGGAGUACGGCCGCAAGGCUAAAACUCAAAGGAAUUGACGGGGCCCCGCACAAGCGGCGGAGCAUGCGGCUUAAUUCGAUGCAACCCGAAGAACCUUACCUGGACUUGACAUCAUGGGUCUACCUGUGGAAACACAGGGUGCAUUUGCGCCC
RNAcentral lists this ribosomal RNA (424 nucleotides) under uncultured bacterium. RNAcentral's name for it is "bacterial SSU rRNA". It matches the Rfam family "Bacterial small subunit ribosomal RNA", at positions 608 to 1030 of the family's 1533-position model. The record is from RNAcentral.